GGCAGGACACAGCUCUGCCAUUCCACUCGCGCUCAAAGCAGUGAAAGCCCAGUGAAAGGAUCUGCGGAGGACAGAGAACAGCCGGGAGCAGGAGAGGGACGCGGGGGAGCCCGGGGACCUGGGCUGUGCCCCUGGCCAGCCCUGCUUUAAGGCUGCAAGCAAGGAAAGAAGGCUUCUAGGCGACUGUCUCAGAUCUCUGGAGGUCUGCUUUAAGGCUGGUUUUUCUGCAAUCAAGGAAAGAAGGUUUCAAGGCGACUGUCUCAGAUCUCUGGAAGUUGGUCUGCUUUAAGGCUGGUCAGUUCUUCAAUCAAGAAAAAAAGGCUUCAGGGUGACUGUCUCAG
RNAcentral lists this long non-coding RNA (341 nucleotides) under Rattus norvegicus (Norway rat). Its description in RNAcentral is "long non-coding RNA NONRATT031156". Lineage: Eukaryota; Metazoa; Chordata; Mammalia; Rodentia; Muridae. The record is from RNAcentral.